GGUGGCAGAGGGGAUUUUCACGGUUUACGGGUUAAAUGGCUAACAAACUUGCCGGAACACCUUUGUGGAAAGGCCCUCGGGUGGCCGAUUUCUAACGCUAGGGGCGCAUGAGCCUGGGGAGCCAACAGCAAUUAGAAACCCUUGUUUGUCCAACCCCGUAAAAGGCUGGGUGGUAAGGUGUUAAGGGGGCCCACCCUUUAUCGCCGAAGGUAACGCGAUUAAACCACCCCGCUUGGGGGAGACGGUUCGCCAAGACUGAAAAUCCAAGGAAUUGACCGGGGCCCCCCACAAGCCAGUGGAGCAAGUGGUUUAAUUGGGAGCCACGGCGAAGGACCUUACCAGGACUGGACAUCCCGUUGACCGCUCUAGAGAUCGAGUUUCCCUUCGGGCCAGCGGUGACAGUGGGUGCAUGGUGUUCGUCAGCUCGUGUCGUGAGAUGUUGGGUUAAGUCCCGCAACGAGCGCAACCCCUAUGUUGUGUUGCUACCAUUUAGUUGAGCACUUACAACAGACUGCCGGUGACAAACCGGAGGAAGGCGGGGAUGACGUCAAAUCAUCAUGCCCCUUAUGUCCUGGGCUACACACGUGCUACAAUGGACGGUACAAAGGGUUGCGAAGCCGCGAGGUGAAGCCAAUCCCAGAAAGCCGUUCGUAGUUCGGAUUGCAGGCUGCAACUCGCCUGCAUGAAGCCGGAAUUGCUAGUAAUCGCGGAUCAGCAUGCCGCGGUGAAUUCGUUCCCGGGCCUUGUACACACCGCCCGUCACACCAUGGGAGUUGGUAACACCCGAAGUCGGUGAGGUAACUGCUUGCAGAGCCAGCCGCCUAAGGUGGGAUCGAUAACUGGGGUGAAGUCGUAACAAGGUAAAUCGAAUUCCCGCGGCC
RNAcentral lists this ribosomal RNA (881 nucleotides) under uncultured bacterium. RNAcentral's name for it is "bacterial SSU rRNA". It matches the Rfam family "Bacterial small subunit ribosomal RNA", at positions 651 to 1533 of the family's 1533-position model. The record is from RNAcentral.